Molecule: ribosomal RNA, 267 nt
Filed under: uncultured bacterium
Lineage: Bacteria
Description: partial 16S ribosomal RNA
Rfam family: Bacterial small subunit ribosomal RNA
Source: RNAcentral
GAUGGCGGACCGGCGCACGGGUGCGUAACGCGUAUGCAACCUACCUUUUACAGGGGCAUAACACUGAGAAAUUGGUACUAAUUCCCCAUAAUAUCUGAGACGGCAUCGUUUUGGGUUGAAAACUCCGGUGGUAAAAGAUGGGCAUGCGUUGUAUUAGCUAGUUGGUGAGGUAACGGCUCACCAAGGCGACGAUACAUAGGGGGACUGAGAGGUUAACCCCCCACAUUGGUACUGAGACACGGACCAAACUCCUACGGGAGGCAGCAG